GACGAACGCUGGCGGCGUGCUUAACACAUGCAAGUCGAACGGAAAGGCCCUGCUUUUGUGGGGUGCUCGAGUGGCGAACGGGUGAGUAACACGUGAGUAACCUGCCCUUGACUUUGGGAUAACUUCAGGAAACUGGGGCUAAUACCGGAUAGGAGCUCCUGCUGCAUGGUGGGUGUUGGAAAGUUUCGGCGGUUGGGGAUGGACUCGCGGCUUAUCAGCUUGUUGGUGGGGUAGUGGCUUACCAAGGCUUUGACGGGUAGCCGGCCUGAGAGGGUGACCGGCCACAUUGGGACUGAGAUACGGCCCAGACUCCUACGGGAGGCAGCAGUGGGGAAUAUUGCACAAUGGGCGGAAGCCUGAUGCAGGAACGCCGCGUGCGGGAUGACGGCCUUCGGGUUGUAAACCGCUUUCGCCUGUGACGAAGCGUGAGUGACGGUAAUGGGUAAAGAAGCACCGGCUAACUACGUG
RNAcentral lists this ribosomal RNA (468 nucleotides) under uncultured bacterium. Its description in RNAcentral is "partial 16S ribosomal RNA". It matches the Rfam family "Bacterial small subunit ribosomal RNA", at positions 28 to 507 of the family's 1533-position model. The record is from RNAcentral.